This 275-nucleotide ribosomal RNA is filed under the name uncultured bacterium. RNAcentral describes it as "partial 16S ribosomal RNA". It matches the Rfam family "Bacterial small subunit ribosomal RNA", at positions 338 to 608 of the family's 1533-position model. The record is from RNAcentral.
CCUACGGGUGGCUGCAGUCGAGAAUCUUCGGCAAUGGGGGCAACCCUGACCGAGCGACGCCGCGUGUGGGAUGAAGGCCCUUGGGUUGUAAACCACUGUCAGAGGGGAUGAAGUGCCAGAGAGUUAUCUCUCUGGUUUGACAUAGCCUCAGAGGAAGCACGGGCUAAGUUCGUGCCAGCAGCCGCGGUAAGACGAACUGUGCAAACGUUAUUCGGAAUCACUGGGCUUGAAGAGUGCGUAGGCGGUUUUGUAAGUAGGGUGUGAAAGUCCUCGGC